AUACGGAGGAUGCGAGCGUUAUCCGGAUUUAUUGGGUUUAAAGGGUGCGUAGGCUGUGCGUUAAGUCAGGGGUGAAAUGCCGUCGCUCAACGACGGAGCUGCCCUUGAUACUGGCGUGCUGGAGUACGGAUGCCGUUGGAGGAAUGAGUGGUGUAGCGGGGAAAUGCUUAGAUAUCACUCAGAACACCGAUUGCGAAGGCAUCUGACGAAUCCGUCACUGACGCUGAGGCACGAAAGCGUGGGGAUAGAACAGGAUUAGAUACCCUGGUAUUCCACGCCGUAAACGAUGAUGACUAACCGUCGGCGAUAGACAGCCGGUGGCCAAGCGAAAGCGAUAAGUCAUCCACCUGGGGAGUACGUCGGCAACGAUGAAACUCAAAUGAAUUGACGG
RNAcentral lists this ribosomal RNA (391 nucleotides) under uncultured bacterium. Its description in RNAcentral is "partial 16S ribosomal RNA". It matches the Rfam family "Bacterial small subunit ribosomal RNA", at positions 523 to 916 of the family's 1533-position model. The record is from RNAcentral.